CAAGAGGCCUAUUUAGUGUGCUGCCAUCAGAUGGCUUCAUCUGGUUGGCCUCUUGUA
RNAcentral lists this microRNA precursor (57 nucleotides) under Mus pahari (shrew mouse). RNAcentral's name for it is "miRNA (MGP_PahariEiJ_G0006998.1)". The record is from RNAcentral. Lineage: Eukaryota; Metazoa; Chordata; Mammalia; Rodentia; Muridae.